CCGAGUGAGGGCCCUCUGGGUCCAACCUCCCACCCGUGUUUACUUACCGUGUUGCUUCGGCGGGCCCGCCUUCGCUGGCCGCCGGGGGGCUCACGCCCCCGGGCCCGCGCCCGCCGAAGACCCCCUCGAACUCUGUCUGAAGAUUGUAGUCUGAGUGAAAAUAUAAAUUAUUUA
This 174-nucleotide unclassified non-coding RNA is filed under the name uncultured Penicillium. RNAcentral's name for it is "sequence contains ITS1". The record is from RNAcentral. Lineage: Eukaryota; Fungi; Ascomycota; Eurotiomycetes; Eurotiales; Aspergillaceae.